RNAcentral lists this ribosomal RNA (568 nucleotides) under Scalptia mercadoi. Its description in RNAcentral is "partial 12S ribosomal RNA". It matches the Rfam family "Bacterial small subunit ribosomal RNA", at positions 518 to 1395 of the family's 1533-position model. Lineage: Eukaryota; Metazoa; Mollusca; Gastropoda; Neogastropoda; Cancellariidae. The record is from RNAcentral.
CGGUUAAACUAGAGGGUCUAGUUAUAUUGUUAAGGUAAAAAGGUGGUUAGAUAUUGUAUUUAAGUGGCGGCUUAUAUAAAUUACCAUGGAGAAGUGAAAUUUUGAUAUGGAUAAAUAAAUCAAAAAUGGCUGAAUAUAUUGAAUCCACAAUAGCUUUGAGGGAAACUGGGAUUUGAUACCCCAUUAUUCUUAGCUGUAAAUAGAUGUUGAGUUUACCAGAGUACUAUGAAUAUUAAAAUUUAAAACUCAAAGAGCUUGGCGGUGUUUUAGACCACUUAGGGGAACCUGUCUCAUAAUCGAUAAUCCACGGUGUACCUUACCUUUUAUUGAAAUCAGCCUGUACACCGUUGUCAUCAGGUAACUUUUUAGAAGGUUUGAGUUAGCAAUAAAAUUUAUAAUUAAUUUGAAUGUCAAAUCAAGGUGCAGCUAAUGAAAAGGGGAGGAUGGGUUACAAUUAAAAUUUAUAAAAUGAAUCAAGUAAUGAAAUUUACUUGUGAAGGAGGACUUAAAAGUAAGAUUAUGUAUAAAAAUAAUCUGAAUUAGGCUCUGAAAUGUGUACUAAUCGCCC